This 20-nucleotide non-coding RNA is filed under the name Arabidopsis thaliana (thale cress). The record is from RNAcentral. Lineage: Eukaryota; Viridiplantae; Streptophyta; Magnoliopsida; Brassicales; Brassicaceae.
UGAUGUUCCACGACCUCUUC